UUAAAAACAUAACACAUACAGGCAGCGGGAAUCAGGUGCAAUUCCUGAGCGAUGAGGUCACUGUGUGGGCAAUGCCUAAAGCCAGAUUACCUGCCUGUAUGCAGAAUGGGGCUUCCAUCCAAAGCGAAACAUUCUAC
This 137-nucleotide small RNA is filed under the name Lachnospiraceae bacterium MD308. RNAcentral also lists the same sequence under 1 other name. Lineage: Bacteria; Bacillati; Bacillota; Clostridia; Lachnospirales; Lachnospiraceae. The record is from RNAcentral.